Molecule: long non-coding RNA, 669 nt
Organism: Amborella trichopoda
Lineage: Eukaryota; Viridiplantae; Streptophyta; Magnoliopsida; Amborellales; Amborellaceae
Source: RefSeq, a predicted model, not a curated record
UUGGGCCUUAGGUUAUGCUAAGCACAAUGUUUCAUUUUCAAAGGGCAGCCAAAACAAGAGAGAGAGAAGCAAAAUGCAGAAGAGCAGGAACAGGGGAACAAUCAGAAGAAAAUUUUCGCAAGUCCAUAAGAACAACUAAGACAGAGAGAGCAUGUUACACAUAGAGCUCAAGACGGAAAAGCUUUCCUAUGGUCAGAAACGUCAUUGAUCAAGCUGUGAUAUCUCUGGAGAAGAUGAGGAAGAAGAUGGUGGAGGCGAAACCUAACCGAGUUUCUGUCUUGAACUAGGAGCUCAGCUGUGGAGCAGAAGAGAAAUAGGAGGAUAUUAAUUCUGAAUACGAGGUCCUUUGGAUGAAUAUAGAAAUGGAGGGACAAACAUGUGAAGCUGGGUUUCUACCGAAACUCAAUGUUAAGGCCACGCUUUGCCUUGGUGUGGAAAAGUUCAAUGUAUGUGUCUCAGAUGGGUUGCUUUCUGAUCAACUGGCUGCCAUGAAAGAAGAGUGCAUGCGUAUUCUCAAGGAUCACAUCACCAAAAACAAUGCCCCCAUGGAUGUUCCAGAUGAACCUCUUGAAGGUUCCUCUGAAGACGAGCCAGGUGAUCCGCCCAAGAAGCAAACUGAAACUGGGAGAUCCAAGAAGCGAAAAUGAUCAUUUGUUUUGGUUUCAGGAU